Sebastes umbrosus (honeycomb rockfish) is the source of this 836-nucleotide long non-coding RNA. RefSeq lists it as uncharacterized. NCBI's taxonomy places the organism in Eukaryota, Metazoa, Chordata, Actinopteri, Perciformes, Sebastidae. The record is from RefSeq and is a predicted model, not a curated record. The transcript has 3 exons.
GCUGGCCUCGGGGCCGAUGAUCACGUGACCCAGGUUCUCGCCCCGGCCGUCUUCUGUUGCCUCUGCCACCGUCACCCUCAGGGAGAGUUCCUGCAAACAGCAUGAUACGGUUACACAACCUGCUGCGAAAAACAUCACACACACAAACAAACACUUACAAAUAGCACAAUAUAAUAAGACCUGAGAGGCCUGAAGGAGAAAGGCUUGACUACGCCCCGUUUGAUGCCACAGUCUAACCUGCAGGACGAUGGACGGCACAGAGAAGAUCAUGGCUUCGUUGAAGAUGGGGUUUGUGUCGUCCCGUUUGGUGGAAGUCUUCUUCUUGCUGAUCUUCUUGCCGUCUUGCAGGAGAUACACUUUGACAAACGGAUCUGAUAACAAGAGUGAGCGAAUAAGAUUACUACCUUCUAAGCUUUUAAAACCCAAGCUACACACAUAAACACCCCCGCGCACAGUUUGUAGAGCAUGUAAUAAACUUCUCAUUAAAGAGUAAUCAGUUAGAAGCACAGUCCUGUACACACAGUUAGCUCUGCGGAUGAUAAUGACAGUGUUUCAGUGGGUGACCUUUAACGGUACAAUGUUAGUGAGGCACUUAUCUGGACAUUUAAUGUGAUGAACAAGUCAUUUAAGUCCCAUCUGCCUGUCUGGAUAUGAAUAAAUGUUUUCAUAUCCUCUGGGAGAUGACAUUGAGAGUCUAUUAUUACUGAGUCUGUAAUCAUUUUGUUCUGUUUGGAUGGAAUUCAAAAGCAGACAGAUUUAUUCAUAGUUCAUACAAAGAGUAACAGACACUCAGGUAGCUCCCGUUCACACACAUUUAGAAAUGAAACACAAACGGA